This 468-nucleotide ribosomal RNA is filed under the name uncultured bacterium. RNAcentral describes it as "partial 16S ribosomal RNA". It matches the Rfam family "Bacterial small subunit ribosomal RNA", at positions 28 to 507 of the family's 1533-position model. The record is from RNAcentral.
GACGAACGCUGGCGGCGUGCUUAACACAUGCAAGUCGAACGGAAAGGCCCUGCUUUUGUGGGGUGCUCGAGUGGCGAACGGGUGAGUAACACGUGAGUAACCUGCCCUUGACUUUGGGAUAACUUCAGGAAACUGGGGCUAAUAUCGGAUAGGAGCUCCUGCUGCAUGGUGGGGGUUGGAAAGUUUCGGCGGUUGGGGAUGGACUCGCGGCUUAUCAGCUUGUUGGUGGGGUAGUGGCUUACCAAGGCUUUGACGGGUAGCCGGCCUGAGAGGGUGACCGGCCACAUGGGGACUGAGAUACGGCCCAGACUCCUACGGGAGGCAGCAGUGGGGAAUAUUGCACAAUGGGCGGAAGCCUGAUGCAGCAACGCCGCGUGCGGGAUGACGGCCUUCGGGUUGUAAACCGCUUUCGCCUGUGACGAAGCGUGAGUGACGGUAAUGGGUAAAGAAGCACCGGCUAACUACGUG